RNA transcript from Seriola dumerili (greater amberjack), 1113 nucleotides. It is a transcript of the gene named tetraspanin-1-like, with no coding region annotated. NCBI's taxonomy places the organism in Eukaryota, Metazoa, Chordata, Actinopteri, Carangiformes, Carangidae. The transcript is spliced from 9 exons. The record is from RefSeq and is a predicted model, not a curated record.
AUAAAGGGGCAUGUGAAAGCCUCGUUGAGCAGACACUCCUCAUUGAUCAGACCUCAGCUGGCAGACGGCCGUCAGUUCAGAACAGUGUGAAGAAGAAAGAAAAUAAAAAAGCCAAGAUGUGUUGCUCCGGCCUUCUCAAAAUGAUGAUGUUUAUCUUCAAUGGCUGCAUCUUCUUGGCAGGUGCAGCCAUCCUGGGUGUGGGAGUGUGGCUGAAGGUGGACAGUGGUUCUUUACUGGGUAUACUGGAUAAUGUGGACAAUGCACCAUCUGGGAUAUCCCAGCUAAUCAACGUCACCUACCUGCUCAUGGCAGUGGGUGGUGUGCUGCUGGUCAUUGGCUUCCUGGGCUGCUGUGGAGCUAUCAAGGAGAGCAAGUGCAUGCUGCUGACGUUCUUCAGUAUUGUGCUGAUCAUCUUCCUCAUCGAGGUCGCAGGAGCUAUUGUGCUGUUCGUCUUCCAGGGUUUGGCUGAUGAACUUCUCUCUGAUCUGGAGCAUGAAGUUAUAUUGAGCAUUAAAAAAGACUAUGGAAGCAGUGAACCUUUAACCUCUAUCUGGAACGGCACCAUGGAUGAGUUUAAGUGCUGUGGAUACAGGAACUACACAGACUUUGACAAUUCCCCUUUUUACAAUGAGGGUAACGGAAAGUUUUAUCCGACCACAUGUUGCAAUGCAACCCUCAUCACCUCGGAUGAAUGUGCUGCAGAGAUUGCAGAAGUUUCGAUGAUUGACGGCUGCUACUUCAAGCUGCUGCAGCUGAUAGAGGACAAUGCUGUGAUCGUUGCAGCUGUGGCUCUUGGAAUUGCUGCUAUUGAGAUUGCUGCCAUGGUGGUUUCGAUGAUUCUCUACAAGAACAUUAAGUGAUGUGUCCCGUCAGAGAUGAGAUGACAAUAUUGUGAUUGGUGGAGAAAUUUUACUUGGUAAGGGCUGUUGUCAGAUGAUAUUCUAUGUGCUGAAACAUAUGGCUGGUAAUGUGUAAUGAUGCACAGAGCAGAGAAGGAUCUUCGCAAGUUGUGUCAGUUGUUUCUGUCCCACACAUUCACUGCAAUAAUAUGAUAAAUUUAUUUUUGUAUGUUUGAUCAUAUAUAAAUAAUAAAUGUCACAAUCUUGACUUUUA